RNAcentral lists this transfer RNA (74 nucleotides) under Clostridia bacterium. RNAcentral's name for it is "tRNA-Thr". It matches the Rfam family "tRNA". From Rfam's summary of the family: Transfer RNA (tRNA) molecules are approximately 80 nucleotides in length. The record is from RNAcentral. Lineage: Bacteria; Bacillati; Bacillota; Clostridia.
GCUUCGUUCGUCCAAUGGAAGGGCCGGGGUUUUGUAAGCCUCAGACGCGGGUUCGAUUCCCGCACGAAGCGCCA